UAACUAGCACUGUAAAAAAAGAAAGAAAAAAGAGCAAACAUAUUGGACAAGAAUACCCCUCAACCGUGACUCUCAAACCCUAAAAACCCUGUGCCUAUAAAAUGCAUAGAACCCCAUCUUUCUCUCAAGAAUUCACUCUCCAGGAAUCUCAUCCACUCUACAUCGGCUAAUUGAGAAAGAGAUCUACAAGGAAACAGAUACCUCUGAUCCAGGAUGAGAGCUAAGUGGAAGAAGAAGCGUAUGAGGAGGUUGAAGAGGAAGCGCAGAAAGAUGAGGCAGAGAUCCAAGUAGGCUGCGGGCUUGGACAAGAUGGAUCUUUUUUCUGCUGGUACAUGCCUAUGAUGCUUAUGGCUUUGUGCUGCGUGAAGCUGUGGGGAUGAGGGAUCUGUAUUAGGGAAUGUUUCAUCUUGUAGGGUUUUAAGACUGCUUCUGCUUUUAGUAUUCUGUUGGCUUUAAUUUUGUGUUGUAUUUGACUUCUUUACUUUAAUAUUGCUUAUGGAUGGAUUAAUGAAACUUUGUUAGAAAAUGAUUAAAACAGCAAUGAACUUCUAUAAAUUGUUUUCCACAA
Populus nigra (black poplar) is the source of this 568-nucleotide long non-coding RNA. RefSeq lists it as uncharacterized. The record is from RefSeq and is a predicted model, not a curated record. The transcript has 2 exons. NCBI's taxonomy places the organism in Eukaryota, Viridiplantae, Streptophyta, Magnoliopsida, Malpighiales, Salicaceae.